Molecule: unclassified non-coding RNA, 376 nt
Filed under: soil metagenome
Description: partial contains 5.8S ribosomal RNA, internal transcribed spacer 2, and large subunit ribosomal RNA
Rfam family: 5.8S ribosomal RNA (bases 1-120)
Source: RNAcentral
GAUGAAGAACGCAGCGAAAUGCGAUAAGUAAUGUGAAUUGCAGAAUUCAGUGAAUCAUCGAAUCUUUGAACGCAUCUUGCGCUCCUUGGUAUUCUGAGGAGCAUGCCUGUUUGAGUGUCAUUAAAUUCUCAACUACACUGACUUUGAAUUGGUGUGGCUUGGAUUUGGGGGGAAAAUUGUUGUGGGCUUUUUGUAUAGUCUGCUCCCCUGAAAUUGAUUAGCGGUACCUUUGUGGAACUGUCUACAGGUGUGAUAAUUAUCUACAUCUUAGACAUCUGCUGGAAUGCUGCUUUCUAAACCUUACUUGUAUUGACAAUCUUGACCUCAAAUCAGGUAGGACUACCCGCUGAACUUAAGCAUAUCAAUAAGCGGACGA